AUUGAACGCUGGCGGAAUGCUUUACACAUGCAAGUCGAACGGCAGCACGGGGCAACCUGGUGGCGAGUAGCGAACGGGUGAGUAAUACAUCGGAACGUGCCCAAUCGUGGGGGGAUAACGUAGCGAAAGUUACGCUAAUACCGCAUACGAUCUACGGAUGAAAGCGGGGGAUCGCAAGACCUCGCGCGAAUGGAGCGGCCGAUGUCAGAUUAGGUAGUUGGUGGGGUAAAGGCUCACCAAGCCGACGAUCUGUAGCUGGUCUGAGAGGACGACCAGCCACACUGGGACUGAGACACGGCCCAGACUCCUACGGGAGGCAGCAGUGGGGAAUUUUGGACAAUGGGCGCAAGCCUGAUCCAGCCAUUCCGCGUGCAGGAUGAAGGCCUUCGGGUUGUAACUAGCUUUGUACGGUAACGAAACGGUAGAGGCUCUAAUACAG
This 439-nucleotide ribosomal RNA is filed under the name uncultured bacterium. RNAcentral's name for it is "bacterial SSU rRNA". It matches the Rfam family "Bacterial small subunit ribosomal RNA", at positions 30 to 469 of the family's 1533-position model. The record is from RNAcentral.